UACGAAGGGGGCUAGCGUUGCUCGGAAUUACUGGGCGUAAAGCGCACGUAGGCGGAUCGCUAAGUCAGGGGUGAAAUCCUGGAGCUCAACUCCAGAACUGCCUUUGAUACUGGCAAUCUCGAGUCCGGGAGAGGUGAGUGGAACUGCGAGUGUAGAGGUGAAAUUCGUAGAUAUUCGCAAGAACACCAGUGGCGAAGGCGGCUCACUGGCCCGGUACUGACGCUGAGGUGCGAAAGCGUGGGGAGCAAACAGG
This 253-nucleotide ribosomal RNA is filed under the name uncultured bacterium. RNAcentral's name for it is "partial 16S ribosomal RNA". It matches the Rfam family "Bacterial small subunit ribosomal RNA", at positions 524 to 776 of the family's 1533-position model. The record is from RNAcentral.